This 253-nucleotide ribosomal RNA is filed under the name uncultured bacterium. Its description in RNAcentral is "partial 16S ribosomal RNA". It matches the Rfam family "Bacterial small subunit ribosomal RNA", at positions 524 to 776 of the family's 1533-position model. The record is from RNAcentral.
UACAUGGGGUGCAAACGUUGCUCGGAAUUAUUGGGCGUAAAGCGCACGUAGGCGGUUCGUUAAGUCGGAUGUGAAAGCCCUCGGCUCAACUGAGGAAGUGCACCCGAAACUGGCGAGCUUGAGUACGAAAGAGGAUCGCGGAAUUCCCGGUGUAGAGGUGAAAUGCGCAGAUAUCGGGAGGAACACCGGUGGCGAAGGCGGGUCUCUGGACAGUUCCUGACGCUGAGGCACGAAGGCCAGGGGAGCAAACGGG